This 492-nucleotide ribosomal RNA is filed under the name uncultured bacterium. RNAcentral's name for it is "partial 16S ribosomal RNA". It matches the Rfam family "Bacterial small subunit ribosomal RNA", at positions 29 to 507 of the family's 1533-position model. The record is from RNAcentral.
AGUGAACGCUGGCGGUAGACCUAACACAUGCAAGUCGAACGGCAGCACAGUAAGAGCUUGCUCUUACGGGUGGCGAGUGGCGGACGGGUGAGGAAUACAUCGGAAUCUACUUUUUCGUGGGGGAUAACGUAGGGAAACUUACGCUAAUACAGCAUACGACCUACGGGUGAAAGCAGGGGAUCUUCGGACCUUGCGCGAUUGAAUGAGCCGAUGUCGGAUUAGCUAGUUGGCGGGGUAAAGGCCCACCAAGGCGACGAUCCGUAGCUGGUCUGAGAGGAUGAUCAGCCACACUGGAACUGAGACACGGUCCAGACUCCUACGGGAGGCAGCAGUGGGGAAUAUUGGACAAUGGGCGCAAGCCUGAUCCAGCCAUACCGCGUGGGUGAAGAAGGCCUUCGGGUUGUAAAGCCCUUUUGUUGGGAAAGAAAAGCAGCAGGUUAAUACCCCGCUGUUCUGACGGUACCCAAAGAAUAAGCACCGGCUAACUUCGUG